CGCGCCAAAACCAAAUUAAAGAAAAAAAACCCUUCCCCGGAUCAGCACCACCACCGCCUAAGUAUUUCCCCACGUUCUCCAUCUUCUUUCCUUCUCCCACCACGACUUCCACAGUUAAGAUUGAGUUCCCAAUCGCACUCAAGAACUCAAGAGUUCAAUCCCAAUCCAAGUUGACUCAAAUCGAAAUUUCCCAAAUCCAAAUUACAGAGUUCUCUUCAAUCCAGAUCCAGAUAUUUCCGUAUGUAUCUUCUUCUCCGGCGAACGUUGGCGGCGAUUAUUAUCCGGCGAACAUAUUUCCCCGAUGCGUGUGAUUGAAUUAUCAAUUGUGAAUUUCUUCUAAAUUAGCUAUUCAAUUGGGUUUUCAAAUUUUCAAUUGUAAAUUUGCAGUUUUAUAGCAAUUUGAUAUGCCUGUUUAUCACCCAGUUAUACUGGAUGUUGGGGUUUAUUAGAAAUUUUUGAUUCUGUGAAUGUUAGAAACUUUCUGAUUCUGGAAAUUUUAGAAAUAUUAGUUUUGGAAUUAGGAGUUACAACGUCGUUAUUGUUCUUUUUGAUUCUCAUGGUCUUCAUCUGAAGUUGGAACAUACUUUUGAUAUUUAAGGGUUGCGGGCUUAUGAUAUUACUUGGGAUUAUUGGAUGUAUGAGUAGUUCAGCACUGGUAGUUCAUUCUUUCGUUUCAUAGGUGUAAUUUUAAUGGACCAUUAGAUGUAUGAGGUUGGGUUCUGUUGAGGAUUUGCUGGACUUGAGUAUUUGAAACUCCCACGAGACCUAUCUGUUAAGCCUGUCUUCGUAGUCGCACCUUGUUGGCCUUGUGUUCUUGUCUUCCCUAUGAGCUUUUUAGCCCGCAUAGUACCAUUCGAACCCCUAGAUUACUGCCCCAUGUACUGUUGCUGCUAGUACUACUGCGACCACUUUGACUGCCAUAGCCUCUACUACUUCCAGCCCGUAGAGAUGCAAGAAUACUCCGUAGCAAGCUCUUCUCCUUGCUUAGAUUUUGGUUCCUCAUCAUCAAUGGCCAUGAUUAACAGCCUGUUUUCUAAUCUCAAGGGCCCUUGUUUAGAUACAGAACUGAAGCUAAAUUGAACCAAACCAUGGCAGUUACGUUUUACUUAUGAGAUAUCAGACCCUAAUCAAAUGCAUACAUCUUGUUUAGGUCAGAAAUAGAAUCCUCCAUGCUACCCUCUAAUAUAUUUUUAUCCAAAUUUACUAUCUACACUAAUAAGAGUUAUCUUUAGAAACCAUUUCCUACAAGUAGCAUUGAUUCAUUACGGAGUUCAACAAUAUUCCAAAUUGUUUCUCCGUGUGACCCUAUUUCCACCACAUAUUUUAACAGUUUCCUUGCUAAUGAUCAAGCUAGGAAUAUCACCACCAUGAUUUUUCCUUGUGAGUUUGGAGAACAAGAAAGUAAUUAAACGAGUACUUGAAAAAUGCGAACCUGCACCUGCUGGAUAAUUCAAUUCAAGUUCAAAGAAGUUCCCUGUUGAGCAUCUUGAGCAGUUGGGUCAGCUCCAGCAGCAAGCAAUAACCACACCAAUUCUCUUCUCUCUACAGCACAGAUAAUUUAAAUCAAGUUAGAGCGUCUCCCAUUCCUUGUAAGGCCCUCUAAAAGAAUAGCAGAAACAAAACCAUGUCACAGAUUUUAUGACGAAGCUUACAGUCUUGGAAGCCCUGACUUCAUAAUCAUAUAUUGGUUGAUUUUAGGGUAGCCAAAAUUGAGAUAACCCAGUUUAGGUAGCGCAUUUAUAUGUGUAUUUUACAGCUUAGAAGAGCUUCAUGAUGAGUGUUUGAGUGCCUCAGACCCUUAGAGCUCCGUCUAAUUUUUCUUUCCCAUGUUCUCCAUCUUCCUUACUUCUUCCACCAUAACUUCCAUCUGGUUCCCAACAAUAGUUCAAUCCCAAUCCAAGUUUACUCUCCGAAAUUUCUCAAAUCCAAAAUUGUAGAGUUCCCUUCAAUCUAAAUCUACAGUUUUUCGUAUUUUCAAUUUUUCUCCGGCGAACGUUUCUCUGCAGCGAUGUAUUAUCUGGCGAACAUAAGCGUGUGGUUUAAUUAUAAAUUGGCAGUUACAAUUUAGCAAAGCAAGGGCGUGACUUAUUACCAGUGAAGCUGUGAAUCAACACACAUUGACAUAACCAAUCAAGGCUGUUGACAAACUGUAUGAAGCAUUAGACAAAUGCAAAGAUACACUGACUGAAGCAAAUAUACGUUUAUUUGUAACUCUAGUUCUGUUUGAUGAGGUAAAAUGACUGCGUAGUAGUGGAUUCAUUAGUGCUAGUCUUACUGUUCAGGAAAUUCAGUUGUCCAAAACCAUGUUUCAGAAGUCAUCAGUUAUCGGCAUUGGUUAAGUUUACAAAUUUGGGUACUUUCUGAAAGUUCAAUAUUCACUCAUUUUCUGAAAAACAGUGCAUUGAAUCCCUGGUCCAAUGUGUUUAUGUGGGCUGUGUAUGAUCUCAAGUGUUCCUAAAGAAUCUUAACCAGUGUCUAGGUCUCUGGGGAAACUCGCUAAUGAUCCUCUUUAGUUUCUAUGGUACAGGAUUCUAUUAGAAUACGGUUGAAUGAAAUAUCACUUGCUGAUUUUUUAUACAUGUUACAUGUCUUUGUGAGGUUCCGUACAGCUUUUGUAGCACCUAGCUCUCGCGUCUUUGGAAGAGGUGAACUUGUAUUAGAUAGGAAGGAGAUUGCUAGGAGGUAUAUCAGAUCAGGUUUCUUCAUUGAUCUCAUUGCAGCUUUACCUCUUCCUCAGAUUGUGAUAUGGUUUAUAAUUCGAGCAAUUAAGCUGUCUAAAUCAAGAAUUGAAGCACCUAUAAUGCACUCCAAUUGAUUGUUUUCUUCCAAUAUAUUCCACGGUCUUAUCUGAUAUUCCCUUCGAGUGUUGAGAUUAUAAAGUCUGCUGGUGUUGUCACGAAAACAGCCUAGGCAGGAGCUGCUUAUAAUCUUAUGUUCUACCAAGUGGAUACAGAUACAAUGUCCUCGGCAAAAGAAUGUCAUGGAUUCUGGAUAAUAUGUCAUGAGAUACAUGAAAGAGAUCAUCGACCAUAAGCAAACUCGAAUAUUUGAAGAUUACUUUCAUGAUUGCAAUAUUCCGAAUUACGAUCAAGGACAAAUUGAUGAAGUCAGAGCUCAAUGGACCUGUCAUGUUCUUCUCGUGUGAAUAUUGUGAUGUAUUAAUUAUGUUUUUCGACUAGAAUUUCUCUAGAACGUUUUAAUUUUAUUUUAUUGGUUUAAAAUUAAAAGAAGUACUAUAUGACAAGGAUACUUCUUUCUGUUUUCUAGUGUGUUUUUAUUCUACUUGUAUUUAGGCAUAUAUGAUUUUAAGUUAUGCACGAGACAUCGAGAAGUUUAUUUGAUAUGAUAGAAAUGAAGUUGAAUCUUAUAUAUAUUCAAUUUGA
Spinacia oleracea (spinach) is the source of this 3383-nucleotide long non-coding RNA. RefSeq lists it as uncharacterized. Lineage: Eukaryota; Viridiplantae; Streptophyta; Magnoliopsida; Caryophyllales; Amaranthaceae. The transcript is spliced from 6 exons. The record is from RefSeq and is a predicted model, not a curated record.